This 339-nucleotide unclassified non-coding RNA is filed under the name soil metagenome. RNAcentral describes it as "partial contains 5.8S ribosomal RNA, internal transcribed spacer 2, and large subunit ribosomal RNA". The stretch from base 1 to 120 matches the Rfam family "5.8S ribosomal RNA", at positions 35 to 154 of the family's 154-position model. The record is from RNAcentral.
GAUGAAGAACGUAGCGAAAUGCGAUACGUAGUGUGAAUUGCAGAAUUCAGUGAAUCAUCGAAUCUUUGAACGCACAUUGCACCUCUCGGUAUUCCGGGAGGUAUGCCUGUUCGAGCGUCAUUUGUACCCUCAAGCUCUGCUUGGUGUUGGGUGUUUGUUCCGCCUCUGUGUGUGAACUCGCCUCAAAACAAUUGGCAGCCGGCGUACUUGUUUCGGAGCGCAGCACAUUUUGCGAUCCAGAUCAACGUACAGCGGCAUCCAAGAAGCCUCAUUUAACGCUCUUGACCUCGGAUCAGGUAGGGAUACCCGCUGAACUUAAGCAUAUCAAUAAGAGGAGGA